ACUUAAAUAAUUUAAAAAAAAUAUUGAUUUGUGGAAUCAAAAAUAUGAGGUAAGUAAUCAUUUUAGGUU
RNAcentral lists this transfer RNA (69 nucleotides) under Ancema ctesia. RNAcentral's name for it is "tRNA-His". Lineage: Eukaryota; Metazoa; Arthropoda; Insecta; Lepidoptera; Lycaenidae. The record is from RNAcentral.